AGAGUUUGAUCCUGGCUCAGAACGAACGCUGGCGGCGUGGAUUAGGCAUGCAAGUCGAACGAGAAAGUGGGCUUCGGCCUGCGAGUACAGUGGCGAACGGGUGAGUAACGCGUGGGGAACCUGCCUCGGAGUGGGGGAUAACAUUCCUAACGGGGUGCUAAUACCGCAUGUAUUCGGUGAGUCGCAUGGCUUGCCGAGAAAAGGUGGCCUCUGUUUACAAGCUACCGCUUCAAGAGGGUCUCGCGUCCGAUUAGCUAGUUGGCGGGGUAACGGCCUACCAAGGCGACUAUCAGUAGCUGGUCUGAGAGGAUGGUCAGCCACACUGGGACUGAGAUACGGCCCAGACUCCUACGGGAGGCAGCAGUCGAGAGGCUUCGGCAAUGGGGGAAACCCUGACCGAGCGACGCCGCGUGGAGGAUGAAGGCUUUUGGGUCGUAAACCCCUUUCGUGGGGGAAGAAUGUAUGCGAGGUAAAUAAUCUCGCGGAUUGACCAACCCAGCAGAGGAAGCCCCGGCUAACUCCGUGCCAGCAGCCGCGGUAAUACGGGGGGAGCAAGCGUUGUUCGGAAUCACUGGGCGUAAAGGGCGUGUAGGCGGUUUGGUAAGUGAGGUGUGAAAGCCCCCGGCUCACCCGGGGAGGGUCAUCUCAUACUGCUGGACUUGAGUGCGGAAGAGGAUGAGGGAAUUCCUGGUGUAGCGGUGAAAUGCGUAGAUAUCAGGAGGAACACCGGUGGCGAAGGCGCUCAUCUGGUCCGUUACUGACGCUGAGGCGCGAAAGCUAGGGGAGCAAACGGGAUUAGAUACCCCGGUAGUCCUAGCCGUAAACGGUGGGCACUAGGUGUGGGGGGUGUCGACCCUUUCCGUGCCGUAGCUAACGCAUUAAGUGUUCCGCCUGGGGAGUACGGUCGCAAGGCUGAAACUCAAAGGAAUUGACGGGGGCCCGCACAAGCGGUGGAGCAUGUGGUUUAAUUCGACGCAACGCGAAGAACCUUACCUGGGCUUGACAUGUACCGGACCGGUGUAGAAACACACCUUCCCUUCGGGGCCGGUGCGCAGGUGCUGCAUGGCUGUCGUCAGCUCGUGUCGUGAGAUGUUGGGUUAAGUCCCGCAACGAGCGCAACCCUUGUCCUUAGUUGCUACCGAGUAAAGUCGAGCACUCUAGGGAGACUGCCGGUGGUAAGCCGGAGGAAGGUGGGGAUGACGUCAAGUCCUCAUGGCCCUUACGCCCCGGGCUACACACGUGCUACAAUGGCCGGCACAAAGGGUUGCAAUACCGCGAGGUGGAGCUAAUCCCAAAAAACCGGUCUCAGUUCGGAUUGCAGUCUGCAACUCGACUGCAUGAAGGCGGAAUCGCUAGUAAUCGCGAAUCAGCAGGUCGCGGUGAAUACGUUCCCGGGCCUUGUACACACCGCCCGUCAAGCCACGAAAGUUGGCAGUGCCCGAAGUCGCCGAGGUAACCGUAAGGAGCCAGGCGCCGAAGGUAAGGCCAGCGAUUGGGGCUAAGUCGUAACAAGGUAACC
Molecule: ribosomal RNA, 1519 nt
Filed under: uncultured prokaryote
Description: partial 16S ribosomal RNA
Rfam family: Bacterial small subunit ribosomal RNA
Source: RNAcentral